RNAcentral lists this ribosomal RNA (761 nucleotides) under Harringtonia lauricola. Its description in RNAcentral is "Raffaelea lauricola partial large subunit ribosomal RNA". It matches the Rfam family "Eukaryotic large subunit ribosomal RNA", at positions 98 to 881 of the family's 3401-position model. Lineage: Eukaryota; Fungi; Ascomycota; Sordariomycetes; Ophiostomatales; Ophiostomataceae. The record is from RNAcentral.
GCGGCAACAGCUCAAAUUUGAAAUCUGGCCCCCCGCGGGCCCGAGUUGUACUUUUGGAGAGGACGCUUCUGGCGCGGCGCCGUCCGAGUUCCCUGGAACGGGACGCCGGANAGGGUGAGAGCCCCGUACGGGCGGCCGCCUAGCCUCUGCGAAGCUCCUUCGACGAGUCGAGUAGUUUGGGAAUGCUGCUCAAAAUGGGAGGUAAAUUUCUUCUAAAGCUAAAUACCGGCCAGAGACCGAUAGCGCACAAGUAGAGUGAUCGAAAGAUGAAAAGCACUUUGAAAAGAGGGUCAAACAGUACGUGAAAUUGUUGAAAGGGAAGCGCCUGUGGCCAGACUUGCGCCCCGCGGACCACCCGGCGCCUCGCGCGCCGGGGCACGCCAGCGGGGCGCAGGCCAGCAUCGGCUCUCUCGGGGGGACAAAGGCCGCGGGAACGUAGCGCCCUCGCGGCGUAUUAUAGCCCGCGGCGCCAUGCCCCCGGGGGGGCCGAGGACCGCGCUCCGGCAAGGAUGCUGGCGUAAUGGCCACCGGCGACCCGUCUUGAAACACGGACCAAGGAGUCAAGCAUUGGGGCGAGUGUCUGGGUGGCAAGCCCGCACGCGGAAUGAAAGUGAACGCAGGUGGGAGCUUCGGCGCACCACCGACCGAUCCUGAUGUCCUCGGAUGGAUUUGAGUAGGAGCCCCGCCGCUUGGACCCGAAAGAUGGUGAACUAUGCCUGUAUAGGGUGAAGCCAGAGGAAACUCUGGUGGAGGCCCGCAGC